AGGGUGUAAACGCUGCAGACUUGGUGUUGGGAACCCUUCGGGGGUGCUCAGUGCCGGAGAGGAGUUGUUAAGUCUGCUACUUGGGGAGUACGUCCGCAAGGAUGAAACUUAAAGGAAUUGGCGGGGGAGCACAACAACGGGUGGAGCCUGCGGUUUAAUUGGACUCAACGCCGGACAACUCACCGGGGACGACAGCAAUAUGUAGGCCAGGCUGAAGACCUUGCCUGAAUCGCUGAGAGGUGGUGCAUGGCGUAGACGUGU
RNAcentral lists this ribosomal RNA (261 nucleotides) under uncultured archaeon. RNAcentral's name for it is "partial 16S ribosomal RNA". It matches the Rfam family "Archaeal small subunit ribosomal RNA", at positions 748 to 1009 of the family's 1478-position model. The record is from RNAcentral.